This is a long non-coding RNA of Mus caroli (Ryukyu mouse), 900 nucleotides long. RefSeq lists it as uncharacterized. Lineage: Eukaryota; Metazoa; Chordata; Mammalia; Rodentia; Muridae. The record is from RefSeq and is a predicted model, not a curated record.
ACUGUCUACCUGGAUCCUCCUGUGGUCUCUAAGUGGCUGUCCCCAGGGCUUCUGUGUGGGAUGAGGCAACUCUUCUGUUCAUUGUUUUUUACUUUUUUCCAGGCUUGCACAAGGCAUGGAACAUUGGCAAAUCCCUAGCAAUGUUUGUAAAUGAACCUGGGAGGUAUUCAUUAACAACUCAGGAGUAUAUGGAUUGGCAGUUUCCGGAGUCAGACAUGCUACCGUUGAGUCAUGAGGUUUUGCUUGGAUUGGCAAUUUCUAUUCCAGAAUCCUUUAUGAAACCAAAGGCUGUCCUAAGUUCCAGAUCUGUGUGAUGUGAUGCUUUGUAUGAUCCCAGUAUGUCUUGUGAGACUGUCCAUCCUGGAGCUUCAGACAGUUGUGAGCUGCCAGUAUAAACUGGGGAUUGAAACCAAACAAAGUCUUCUUGAAGAUUGGAGGAUGCUGCAGCAUCACUUUGUCAAUAUCCAUAUCCCAGAGAAAUCACUGGAAACCUUUAUCAGAGGAACAGAUGGCUGGGUCCCUCCUGGUCUGAAAGUAUUUCUGGCUGUCAUGUGGUUAUUCUAUAAAUAAACCUUACUGGGAGGAAGGUUUCAAAAAAUUGGAAUGAUAACACCAGGAUGCUCGGUGCAGUCAUUAGAGGAGCAUGUUACUUGGACUCCUGAGUCCCAGCUAAUGGUUCCUGUGUUCUGGGUACCUCUGUGAGAACUACACAGUCACAACCAACUUUUAGUCUCAUUAACCAGUGAGCUUCUAUGAGAGAUAGACACAAGACAAUCAACUGCCUAAAACUGAUGUUUCCCCAAUUCAGUAUGUUGAUAUUUUGGUCAAUUUUAUUUUAACAAAAGCUAUUGGAAUGGACUGGUUUUGUGUCAACUUGACAGAAGCUAGAGUCAUCAAAGA